UGCUUAACACAUGCAAGUCGAACGGAAACGCGAAGAGCUUGCUCUUUGGCGUCGAGUGGCGGACGGGUGAGUAACGCGUGGGAAUCUACCCAGUAGUGGGGGACAGCCCAGAGAAAUUUGGAUUAAUACCGCAUACGAUCUACGGAUGAAAGGUGGCCUCUCCUUGGAAGCUAUCGCUAUUGGAUGAGCCCGCGUUAGAUUAGCUAGUUGGUGGGGUAAGAGCCUACCAAGGCAACGAUCUAUAGCUGGUCUGAGAGGACGACCAGCCACAUCGGGACUGAGACACGGCCCGGACUCCUACGGGAGGCAGCAGUGGGGAAUAUUGGACAAUGGGCGCAAGCCUGAUCCAGCAAUGCCGCGUGUGUGAAGAAGGCCCGAGGGUUGUAAAGCACUUUCAAUUGUGAAGAAGAGUAUAAGAUUAAUACUCUUGUACUUUGACGUUAACUAUAGAAGAAGCACCGGCUAACUCUGUGCCAGCAGCCGCGGUAAUACAGAGGGUGCGAGCGUUAAUCGGAAUUACUGGGCGUAAAGCGCGCGUAGGCGGCUUAUUAAGUCAGAUGUGAAAUCCCCGGGCUCAACCUGGGAACUGCAUCUGAUACUGGUAAGCUAGAGUUUUGGAGAGGGAAGUAGAAUUUCAGGUGUAGCGGUGAAAUGCAUAGAGAUCUGAAGGAAUACCAGUGGCGAAGGCGACUUCCUGGCCAAAAACUGACGCUGAGGUGCGAAAGCGUGGUAGCAAACGGGAUUAGAUACCCCGUAGUCCACGCCGUAAACGAUGU
This 776-nucleotide ribosomal RNA is filed under the name uncultured bacterium. Its description in RNAcentral is "bacterial SSU rRNA". It matches the Rfam family "Bacterial small subunit ribosomal RNA", at positions 45 to 812 of the family's 1533-position model. The record is from RNAcentral.